This 76-nucleotide transfer RNA is filed under the name Clostridiales bacterium. RNAcentral's name for it is "tRNA-Arg". It matches the Rfam family "tRNA". Rfam says of the family: Transfer RNA (tRNA) molecules are approximately 80 nucleotides in length. Their secondary structure includes four short double-helical elements and three loops (D, anti-codon, and T loops). Further hydrogen bonds mediate the characteristic L-shaped molecular structure. tRNAs have two regions of fundamental functional importance: the anti-codon, which is responsible for specific mRNA codon recognition, and the 3' end, to which the tRNAs corresponding amino acid is attached (by aminoacyl-tRNA synthetases). tRNAs cope with the degeneracy of the genetic code in two manners: having more than one tRNA (with a specific anti-codon) for a particular amino acid; and 'wobble' base-pairing, i.e. permitting non-standard base-pairing at the 3rd anti-codon position. The record is from RNAcentral. Lineage: Bacteria; Bacillati; Bacillota; Clostridia; Eubacteriales.
ACUCCCGUAGCUCAGUGGAGAGAGCACUCGCCUCCUAAGCGAGGGGUCGGCAGUUCGACUCUGCCCGGGAGUGCCA